This 253-nucleotide ribosomal RNA is filed under the name uncultured bacterium. RNAcentral's name for it is "partial 16S ribosomal RNA". It matches the Rfam family "Bacterial small subunit ribosomal RNA", at positions 524 to 776 of the family's 1533-position model. The record is from RNAcentral.
UACGAAGGGGGCUAGCGUUGUUCGGAAUUACUGGGCGUAAAGCGUGCGCAGGCGGUUUUACAAGUCAGGGGUGAAAGCCCAGAGCUCAACUCUGGAAAUGCCCUUGAAACUGUUAAGCUCGAGUGCGGGAGAGGUGAGUGGAAUUCCCAGUGUAGAGGUGAAAUUCGUAGAUAUUGGGAAGAACACCGGUGGCGAAGGCGGCUCACUGGCCCGUUUCUGACGCUCAUGCACGAUAGCGUGGGGAUCAAACAGG